RNAcentral lists this ribosomal RNA (465 nucleotides) under uncultured bacterium. RNAcentral's name for it is "partial 16S ribosomal RNA". It matches the Rfam family "Bacterial small subunit ribosomal RNA", at positions 338 to 795 of the family's 1533-position model. The record is from RNAcentral.
CCUACGGGUGGCAGCAGUGGGGAAUAUUGCGCAAUGGGCGAAAGCCUGACCCAGCGACGCCGCGUGAGGGAUGAAGGUCUUCGGAUUGUAAACCUCUUUCAGCAGGGAAGAACGGUCACUGUGCUAAUCAUCAGUGAAUUGACGGUACCUGCAAAGCAAGCACCGGCGAACUCCGUGCCAGCAGCCGCGGUAAUACGGAGGGUGCGAGCGUUAGUCGGAAUUACUGGGGGUAAAGCGCUCGUAGGCGGUAUUUCAAGUCAAAGGUGAAAUCCCCGGGCUCAACGUGGUGACUGCAUUUGAAACUGGCAAACUGGAGUGUGUGAGAGGAUAGUGGAAUUCCGGGUGUAGGGGUGAAAUGCGUAGAUAUCUGGAGGAACAUCAGUGGCGAAGGCGAAUAUCUGGCACAUAACUGACGCUGAGGAGCGAAAGCGUGGGUAGCAAACAGGAUUAGAUACCCGUGUAGUC